GCAGGUGUCCCCGGGGGUGUUUCUGCCUUCCAAGCUGAAAGACAGGGUUCGACUCCCUGCAUCUGCUCCA
This 70-nucleotide transfer RNA is filed under the name compost metagenome. RNAcentral's name for it is "tRNA-Gly". It matches the Rfam family "tRNA". Rfam says of the family: Transfer RNA (tRNA) molecules are approximately 80 nucleotides in length. Their secondary structure includes four short double-helical elements and three loops (D, anti-codon, and T loops). Further hydrogen bonds mediate the characteristic L-shaped molecular structure. tRNAs have two regions of fundamental functional importance: the anti-codon, which is responsible for specific mRNA codon recognition, and the 3' end, to which the tRNAs corresponding amino acid is attached (by aminoacyl-tRNA synthetases). tRNAs cope with the degeneracy of the genetic code in two manners: having more than one tRNA (with a specific anti-codon) for a particular amino acid; and 'wobble' base-pairing, i.e. permitting non-standard base-pairing at the 3rd anti-codon position. The record is from RNAcentral.